RNAcentral lists this ribosomal RNA (423 nucleotides) under uncultured rumen bacterium. Its description in RNAcentral is "bacterial SSU rRNA". It matches the Rfam family "Bacterial small subunit ribosomal RNA", at positions 354 to 776 of the family's 1533-position model. The record is from RNAcentral.
GUGGGGAAUAUUGCACAAUGGGGGAAACCCUGAUGCAGCAACGCCACGUGUGGGAAGAAGCAUUUCGGUGUGUAAACCACUGUCAUGAGGGAAUAAGGCCCUUAUUCGUAAGGGAUUGAAUGUACCUUGAGAGGAAGCACCGGCAAACUUCGUGCCAGCAGCCGCGGUAAUACGAGGGGUGCAAGCGUUGUUCGGAAUUACUGGGCGUAAAGGGAGCGUAGGCGGAGAUUCAAGCGGAUUGUACAAUCCCGGGGCCCAACCCCGGCUCUGCAGUCCGAACUGGAUCUCUUGGAUAGUUCAGGGGCAGGCGGAAUUCCUGGUGUAGCGGUGGAAUGCGUAGAGAUCAGGAAGAACACCGAUGGCGAAGGCAGCCUGCUGGGGACUUAUCGACGCUGAGGCUCGAAAGUGCGGGUAGCAAACAGG